AUUGAACGCUGGCGGCAUGCCUUACACAUGCAAGUCGAACGGUAACGGGCCUUCGGGUGCCGACGAGUGGCGAACGGGUGAGUAAUGCAUCGGAACGUACCUUUCAGUGGGGGAUAACGUAGCGAAAGUUACGCUAAUACCGCAUAUUCUGUGAGCAGGAAAGCAGGGGAUCGCAAGACCUUGCGCUGAUUGAGCGGCCGAUGUCAGAUUAGCUAGUUGGUGAGGUAAAGGCUCACCAAGGCGACGAUCUGUAGCGGGUCUGAGAGGAUGAUCCGCCACACUGGAACUGAGACACGGUCCAGACUCCUACGGGAGGCAGCAGUGGGGAAUUUUGGACAAUGGGGGCAACCCUGAUCCAGCCAUGCCGCGUGAGUGAUGAAGGCCUUAGGGUUGUAAAGCUCUUUUGGCGGGGACGAUAAUGACGGUACCCGCAGAAUAAGUCCCGGCUAACUUCGUG
Molecule: ribosomal RNA, 457 nt
Filed under: uncultured bacterium
Lineage: Bacteria
Description: bacterial SSU rRNA
Rfam family: Bacterial small subunit ribosomal RNA
Source: RNAcentral